RNAcentral lists this ribosomal RNA (484 nucleotides) under uncultured bacterium. RNAcentral's name for it is "partial 16S ribosomal RNA". It matches the Rfam family "Bacterial small subunit ribosomal RNA", at positions 29 to 507 of the family's 1533-position model. The record is from RNAcentral.
AUUGAACGCUGGCGGCAUGCUUUACACAUGCAAGUCGAACGGCAGCGCGGGCUUCGGCCUGGCGGCGAGUGGCGAACGGGUGAGUAAUGCAUCGGAAAGUGCCCAGUAGUGGGGGAUAGCUCGGCGAAAGCCGGAUUAAUACCGCAUACGACCUGAGGGUGAAAGCGGGGGACCGAAAGGCCUCGCGCUAUUGGAGCGGCCGAUGUCGGAUUAGCUAGUUGGUGGGGUAAAGGCUUACCAAGGCGACGAUCCGUAGCUGGUCUGAGAGGACGACCAGCCACACUGGGACUGAGACACGGCCCAGACUCCUACGGGAGGCAGCAGUGGGGAAUUUUGGACAAUGGGGGCAACCCUGAUCCAGCCAUGCCGCGUGCGGGAAGAAGGCCUUCGGGUUGUAAACCGCUUUUGGUCGGGAAGAAAUCCUCUGGGCUAAUACCCCGGGGGGAUGACGGUACCGGAAGAAUAAGCACCGGCUAACUACGUG